Molecule: ribosomal RNA, 527 nt
Filed under: uncultured bacterium
Lineage: Bacteria
Description: bacterial SSU rRNA
Rfam family: Bacterial small subunit ribosomal RNA
Source: RNAcentral
CAAGGAAUUUUCCGCAAUGGGCGCAAGCCUGACGGAGCAACGCCGCGUGCGGGAUGACGCUUUUCGGAGUGUAAACCGCUGUUCGUGGGGACGAAGCACUGACGGUACCCACGGAGGAAGGCCCGGCUAACUACGUGCCAGCAGCCGCGGUAAUACGUAGGGGUCGAGCGUUGUCCGGAGUUACUGGGCGUAAAGCGCGUGCAGGUGGCUCAUUACGCCCGGCGUGAAAGCCCCCGGCUCAACCGGGGAGGGUCGUCGGGGACGGGUGAGCUUGAGGGUCGCAGGGGCUGGUAGAAUUCCCGGUGUAGUGGUGAAAUGCGUAGAGAUCGGGAGGAAUACCCGUGGCGAAGGCGGCCAGCUGGGCGACACCUGACACUGAGACGCGAAGGCGUGGGGAGCGAACGGGAUUAGAUACCCCGGUAGUCCACGCAGUAAACGAUGCCGACUAGGCGUGGGGGGACUUGACCCCCUCCGUGCCGAAGCUAACGCAUGAAGUCGGCCGCCUGGGGAGUACGGCCGCAAGGCUA